UCGCUGACGAGUGGCGGACGGGUGAGUAAUGUCUGGGAAACUGCCUGAUGGAGGGGGAUAACUACUGGAAACGGUGGCUAAUACCGCAUAACGUCGCAAGACCAAAGAGGGGGACCUUCGGGCCUCUUGCCAUCAGAUGUGCCCAGAUGGGAUUAGCUAGUUGGUGAGGUAACGGCUCACCAAGGCGACGAUCCCUAGCUGGUCUGAGAGGAUGACCAGCCACACUGGAACUGAGACACGGUCCAGACUCCUACGGGAGGCAGCAGUGGGGAAUAUUGCACAAUGGGCGCAAGCCUGAUGCAGCCAUGCCGCGUGUAUGAAGAAGGCCUUCGGGUUGUAAAGUACUUUCAGCGGGGAGG
Molecule: ribosomal RNA, 359 nt
Filed under: Salmonella enterica
Lineage: Bacteria; Pseudomonadati; Pseudomonadota; Gammaproteobacteria; Enterobacterales; Enterobacteriaceae
Description: bacterial SSU rRNA
Rfam family: Bacterial small subunit ribosomal RNA
Source: RNAcentral